RNAcentral lists this transfer RNA (68 nucleotides) under Podarcis lilfordi (Lilford's wall lizard). RNAcentral's name for it is "tRNA.Ala". Lineage: Eukaryota; Metazoa; Chordata; Lepidosauria; Squamata; Lacertidae. The record is from RNAcentral.
CCAUAGCUGAGUGGUAAAACAUCUGCUCUGCAUGCAGAAGGUCCCAAGUUCAAUCCCCAGCAUAGGGU